GGGGAAUAUUGCACAAUGGGGGAAACCCUGAUGCAGCGACGCCGCGUGAGUGAAGAAGUAUUUCGGUAUGUAAAGCUCUAUCAGCAGGGACGAUAAUGACGGUACCUGACUAAGAAGCCCCGGCUAACUACGUGCCAGCAGCCGCGGUAAUACGUAGGGGGCAAGCGUUAUCCGGAUUUACUGGGUAUAAAGGGAGCGUAGGUGGCUGGAUAAGUCAGAUGUGAAAGCCCAGGGCUCAACCCUGGGACUGCAUUUGAAACUAUCUGGCUAGAGUGCAGGAGAGGUAAGUGGAAUUCCUAGUGUAGCGGUGAAAUGCGUAGAUAUUAGGAGGAACACCAGUGGCGAAGGCGGCUUACUGGACUGUAACUGACACUGAGGCUCGAAAGCGUGGGGAGCAAAC
RNAcentral lists this ribosomal RNA (400 nucleotides) under uncultured bacterium. RNAcentral's name for it is "bacterial SSU rRNA". It matches the Rfam family "Bacterial small subunit ribosomal RNA", at positions 356 to 773 of the family's 1533-position model. The record is from RNAcentral.